CAAUAGCGUAUAUUAAAGCUGUUGCGGUUAAAAAGCUCGUAGUUGGAUUUCUGUCAAGGACAACUGGUCCGCCCUCCGGGUGAGCACAUAGUUUGGUCUCGACAUCUUGCUGGAAGCUGUUGCUGCACUUGGCUGUGUGGCGCAGUGUUCAGCACUUUCACUUUGAGGAAAUUGGAGUGUUUCAAGCAGGCACAUGCCUUUGGACACAGUAGCAUGGAAUAAUUAGAUUGGGCUUUUGCUCCAAUUUGUCGGUUUCUGGAGCUGAGGUGAGUAUUAAUGGGGAUUGUUGGGGGCAUCCGAAUUUAGCCGUCAGAGGUGAAAUUCUUGGAUCUGCUAAAGACGGACAACUGCGAAAGCGUUUGCCCAGGAUGUUUUCAUUGA
RNAcentral lists this ribosomal RNA (381 nucleotides) under uncultured eukaryote. Its description in RNAcentral is "partial 18S ribosomal RNA". It matches the Rfam family "Eukaryotic small subunit ribosomal RNA", at positions 592 to 976 of the family's 1831-position model. The record is from RNAcentral.